GACGAACCGUGCGAACGUUGUUCGGAAUCACUGGGCUUAAAGGGCGCGUAGGCGGGCAGUCAGGUCCGGGGUGAAAGCACACGGCUUAACCGUGUAAUAGCCUGGGAUACCGGCUGUCUGGAGGAGGGUAGGGGCAUGUGGAACUUCCGGUGGAGCGGUGAAAUGCGUUGAUAUCGGAAGGAACGCCGGUGGCGAAAGCGACGUGCUGGGCCCUUCCUGACGCUGAGGCGCGAAAGCCAGGGGAGCAAACGGG
RNAcentral lists this ribosomal RNA (253 nucleotides) under uncultured prokaryote. RNAcentral describes it as "partial 16S ribosomal RNA". It matches the Rfam family "Bacterial small subunit ribosomal RNA", at positions 524 to 776 of the family's 1533-position model. The record is from RNAcentral.